This 514-nucleotide ribosomal RNA is filed under the name uncultured bacterium. RNAcentral describes it as "partial 16S ribosomal RNA". It matches the Rfam family "Bacterial small subunit ribosomal RNA", at positions 28 to 523 of the family's 1533-position model. The record is from RNAcentral.
GAUGAACGCUGGCGGCGUGCCUAAUACAUGCAAGUCGAGCGAAUGGAUUAAGAGCUUGCUCUUAUGAAGUUAGCGGCGGACGGGUGAGUAACACGUGGGUAACCUGCCAUAAGACUGGGAUAACUCCCGGAAACCGGGGCUAAUACCGGAUAACAUUUUGAACCGCAUGGUUCGAAAUUGAAAGGCGGCUUCGGCUGUCACUUUGGGAUGGACCCGCGUCGCAUUAGCUAGUUGGUGAGGUAACGGCUCACCAAGGCAACGAUGCGUAGCCGACCUGAGAGGGUGAUCGGCCACACUGGGACUGAGACACGGCCCAGACUCCUACGGGAGGCAGCAGUAGGGAAUCUUCCGCAAUGGACGAAAGUCUGACGGAGCAACGCCGCGUGAGUGAUGAAGGCUUUCGGGUCGUAAAACUCUGUUGUUAGGGAAGAACAAGUGCUAGUUGAAUAAGCUGGCACCUUGACGGUACCUAACCAGAAAGCCACGGCUAACUACGUGCCAGCCGCCGCAGUAA